CAGCCGCCGCGGGAAUACGGAGGGUGCAAGCGUUAAUCGGAAUUACUGGGCGUAAAGCGUGCGUAGGCGGCUUCUUAAGUCGGAUGUGAAAUCCCUGAGCUUAACUUAGGAAUUGCAUUCGAUACUGGGAAGCUAGAGUAUGGGAGAGGAUGGUAGAAUUCCAGGUGUAGCGGUGAAAUGCGUAGAGAUCUGGAGGAAUACCGAUGGCGAAGGCAGCCAUCUGGCCUAAUACUGACGCUGAGGUACGAAAGCAUGGGGAGCAAACAGGAUUAGAUACCCCAGUAGUCCCUGUCUCUUAUAC
This 301-nucleotide ribosomal RNA is filed under the name uncultured bacterium. Its description in RNAcentral is "partial 16S ribosomal RNA". It matches the Rfam family "Bacterial small subunit ribosomal RNA", at positions 509 to 807 of the family's 1533-position model. The record is from RNAcentral.